AGCGAACGCUGGCGGCAGGCUUAACACAUGCAAGUCGAACGCCCCGCAAGGGGAGUGGCAGACGGGUGAGUAACACGUGGGAACGUACCCUUUGGUUCGGAAUAACUUGGGGAAAUUCAAGCUAAUACCGGAUAAGCCCUUAUGGGGAAAGGUUUACUGCCGAAGGAUCGGCCCGCGUCUGAUUAGCUAGUUGGUGAGGUAAUGGCUCACCAAGGCGACGAUCAGUAGCUGGUCUGAGAGGAUGAUCAGCCACACUGGGACUGAGACACGGCCCAGACUCCUACGGGAGGCAGCAGUGGGGAAUAUUGGACAAUGGGGGCAACCCUGAACCAGCCAUGCCGCGUGAGUGAUGAAGGCCUUAGGGUUGUAAAGCUCUUUUACCCGGGACGAUAAUGACUGUACCGGGAGAAUAAGCCCCGGCUAACUUCGUGCCAGCAGCCGCAGUAA
RNAcentral lists this ribosomal RNA (447 nucleotides) under uncultured bacterium. Its description in RNAcentral is "partial 16S ribosomal RNA". It matches the Rfam family "Bacterial small subunit ribosomal RNA", at positions 29 to 523 of the family's 1533-position model. The record is from RNAcentral.